AGGGGACAGUCUGGUCUAGGACACGGGGUUUCCAACCCCGGAACACGGGUUCAAAUCCCGUCGA
RNAcentral lists this transfer RNA (64 nucleotides) under Nitrososphaerota archaeon. RNAcentral's name for it is "Thaumarchaeota archaeon tRNA-Gly". The stretch from base 8 to 61 matches the Rfam family "tRNA", at positions 9 to 63 of the family's 71-position model. From Rfam's summary of the family: Transfer RNA (tRNA) molecules are approximately 80 nucleotides in length. Their secondary structure includes four short double-helical elements and three loops (D, anti-codon, and T loops). The record is from RNAcentral. Lineage: Archaea; Thermoproteati; Nitrososphaerota.